This 280-nucleotide ribosomal RNA is filed under the name uncultured bacterium. Its description in RNAcentral is "partial 16S ribosomal RNA". It matches the Rfam family "Bacterial small subunit ribosomal RNA", at positions 506 to 784 of the family's 1533-position model. The record is from RNAcentral.
UGCCAGCAGCCGCGGUAAUACAGAGGGUGCAAGCGUUAAUCGGAAUUACUGGGCGUAAAGAGUGUGUAGGUGGCUUAAGUAAGUUAGGUGUGAAAUCCCUGGGCUUAACCUGGGAAUGUCGCUUAAAACUGCUUAGCUAGAGUACUAUAGAGGAUAGUGGAAUUUCCAGUGUAGCGGUGAAAUGCGUAGAUAUUGGAAGGAACACCAGUGGCGAAGGCGACUGUCUGGAUAGAUACUGACACUGAGACACGAAAGCGUGGGUAGCGAACAGGAUUAGAUA